GGGCCCGUAGCUCAGCUUGGACAGAGCGGCAGACUUCUAAUCUGAAGGUCCCGGGUUCAAAUCCCGGCGGGCCCG
RNAcentral lists this transfer RNA (75 nucleotides) under Microcaldota archaeon. Its description in RNAcentral is "tRNA-Arg". It matches the Rfam family "tRNA". From Rfam's summary of the family: Transfer RNA (tRNA) molecules are approximately 80 nucleotides in length. Their secondary structure includes four short double-helical elements and three loops (D, anti-codon, and T loops). Further hydrogen bonds mediate the characteristic L-shaped molecular structure. tRNAs have two regions of fundamental functional importance: the anti-codon, which is responsible for specific mRNA codon recognition, and the 3' end, to which the tRNAs corresponding amino acid is attached (by aminoacyl-tRNA synthetases). tRNAs cope with the degeneracy of the genetic code in two manners: having more than one tRNA (with a specific anti-codon) for a particular amino acid; and 'wobble' base-pairing, i.e. permitting non-standard base-pairing at the 3rd anti-codon position. RNAcentral also lists the same sequence under 1 other name. The record is from RNAcentral. Lineage: Archaea; Nanobdellati; Microcaldota.